UACGUAGGGGGCAAGCGUUAUCCGGAUUUACUGGGUGUAAAGGGAGCGUAGACGGCGGUGCAAGCCAGAUGUGAAAGCCCGGGGCUCAACCCCUGAACUGCUUUGGAAACUGCCAUGCUAGAGUGCUGGAGAGGUAAGUGGAAUUCCUAGUGUAGCGGUGAAAUGCGUAGAUAUUAGGAGGAACACCAGUGGCGAAGGCGGCUUACUGGACAGUAACUGACGUUGAGGCUCGAAAGCGUGGGGAGCAAACAGG
Molecule: ribosomal RNA, 253 nt
Filed under: uncultured Lachnospiraceae bacterium
Lineage: Bacteria; Bacillati; Bacillota; Clostridia; Lachnospirales; Lachnospiraceae
Description: partial 16S ribosomal RNA
Rfam family: Bacterial small subunit ribosomal RNA
Source: RNAcentral